CACGUUAUUGAACAUGUUUAAAUGUACAUGAUCAAAAAGGACUACACACAUCUUUGAUACACACGUUGAAAAUAGAGCCCUUGAACUACUAGUGGACAAAACAUUGGUACCGUUCCUUCAUGUUGGCUUAUAAUAUGGUAGUGGGUUGUUGAUUAGUAUGAUCUCAAUUACUGUGUCAGGUUUGACACAAAAGUAUUGCCAACAUAUUCCUUUCGAGUAUGAUUAGGGUGGUUUUGCUUUGUGCGACUUCUCAACAUUUUACAACUUUCAUGAUGUUUCAUUUAUGGAUGAAUUGUAAAAAACGCUCAAUAGACCUUGUUGGAAUGCUAACUACAAAUCAGCUGGAUAAUACAGUGCAUGCACACACUUCAUCCUGUUACGUUAUUUAUUAAAAG
Molecule: non-coding RNA, 395 nt
Organism: Pelobates cultripes (western spadefoot toad)
Lineage: Eukaryota; Metazoa; Chordata; Amphibia; Anura; Pelobatidae
Source: the annotation of a GenBank genome assembly